CGUUCCUAGGCCGUCAUUGAAAAUAAGAAUGUGUUCUUAACUGACUUGCCUAGUUAAAUUAACAUUAAAUCAACGUGUAAAAGGUGCCAUAAAAUACCAAUUUCCGAUUGUUAUGAAAACUUGAAAUCGGCCCCAAUUAAUCGGUCGACCUCUAGACGGUAGUGUUAUUGUUCUAAGAUUGUAGAGUGGUGUGAUGGAUGCAUGGAUGGAUGGAUAGGUGGUGGGAGUACAUUAGGAGAAGGAUUCCACACGUUGUUGUGGUAGAUAAGCUGUAUCAGUCACUGUCUGACAGUGGACAGGCUUUUUGCUGUAGUGUUGGUAGUGUAGGUUAGGACUAGUAACAGGGAUGUUGUAGUGUUAGUGUAUGUUAGGAGUAGUAACAGGGAUGUUGCCGUGGAGGUUAGGACUAGUAACAGGGAUGUUGUAGUGUUAGUGUAGGUUAGGACUAGUAACAGGGAUGUUGUGGUGUUGGUGGAGGUCAGGACUAGUAACAGGGAUGUUGUGGUGUUAGUGUAGGUUAGGACUAGUAACAGGGAUGUUGCAGUGUUGGUGGAGGUUAGGACUAGUAAUAGGGAUAUUGUAGUGUUGGUAACAGGGAUGUUGUAGUGUUGGUGGAGGUUAGGAGUAGUAACAGGGAUGUUGUAGUGUUGGUGGAGGUUAGGACUAGUAACAGGGAUGUUGUAGUGGUGUUUGUAGGUUAGGACUAGUAACAGGGAUGUUGUAGUGUUGGUAGAGAUUAGGACUAGUCACAGGGAUGUUGUAGUGUUGGUGGAGGUUAGGACUAGUAACAGGGAUGUUGUGGUGUUGGUGGAGGUCAGGACUAGUAACAGGGAUGUUGUAGUGGUGGUGGAGGUCAGGACUAGUAACAGGGACAUUGUAGUAGGGAUGUUGUAGUGUUGGUGGAGGUCAGCUCUAGUAACAGGGAUGUUGUAGUGUUGGUGGAGGUUAGGACUAGUAACAGGGAUGUUGGGGUGUUGGUGGAGGUUAGGACUAGUAACAGGGAUGUUGUAGUGUUGGUGGAGGUCGGGACUAGUAGCAGGGAUGUUGUAGUGUUGGUGGAGGUUAGGAGUAGUAACAGGGAUGUUGUAGUGUUGGUGGAGGUCAGGACUAGUAACAGGGAUGUUGUAGUGUUGGUGGAGGUCAGGACUAGUAACAUGGAUGUUGUGGUGUAGGUUAGGACUAGUAACAGGGAUGUUGUAAUGUUGGUGUAGGUCGGGACUAGUAACAGGGAUGUUGUAGUGUUGGUGGAGGUCGGGACUAGUAACAGGGAUGUUGUAGUGUUGGUGGAGGUUAGGAGUAGUAACAGGGAUGUUGUAGUAGUGUUGGAGGUCAGGAGUAGUAACAGGGAUGUUGUAGUGUUGGUGGAGGUUAGGAGUAGUAACAGGGAUGUUGUAGUGUUGUUGGAGGUCAGGAGUAGUAACAGGGAUGUUGUAGUGUUGGUGGAGGUUAGGAGUAGUAACAGGGAUGUUGUAGUGUUUGUUGGUGGAGGUUAGGAGGAGUAACGGAUGUUGUAGUGUUGGUGGAGGUUAGGAGUAGUAACAGGGAUGUUGUAGUGUUGGUGGAGGUCAGGAGUAGUAACAGGGAUGUUGUAGUGUUGGUGGAGGUUAGGAGUAGUAACAGGGAUGUUGUAGUGUUGGUGGAGGUCAGGAGUAGUAACAGGGUUUCUGAGCCAUGGUGGUGUUGAUGUUGUCUCUAUGGAAGUGCUGCCCUGGAAGUGCAAGGUAGUCAUCCAGUGUUGUAGACCCAGAUGUGCAUUUCUCUUUCUGUCUGUCUCUCUCUCUCGUUCUUUGUUGCUCUGUCUCUCGCUCAAUCUCUACCCCUCCUCUCUCUCUCCCUCCAUCUCGCUCUCUUCAUCAGUCUCUCGGUCUUUCCCUCCAUCUCUCUCUCUCUGUGUGUUGGUGAUUACAUCACUUGCCCUCUCUCUCCUCUCUCUCUCUCUCUCUCUCUGCCUCUUGUGUAACCGACAGAUUUAUUUGCUCCAGCUGAGGACUAAUCUCUCCCGUGAGACAGACAGAAGGAACAAGGGAGAGGAGGAGAGCAGGACAAGCCAACCUUACUAACCUGACUGGACGCUCUGCCUCGUUAAUUCAAUCAGUC
This is a long non-coding RNA of Oncorhynchus tshawytscha (Chinook salmon), 2097 nucleotides long. The record is from Ensembl. Lineage: Eukaryota; Metazoa; Chordata; Actinopteri; Salmoniformes; Salmonidae.